ACGAAGCUGCUUAACUGAUCUUCUUCGGAAUUGACGUUUUGUAGACUGAGUGGCGGACGGGUGAGUAACGCGUGGGUAACCUACCCUGUACAGGGGGAUAACAGUCAGAAAUGACUGCUAAUACCGCAUAAGACCACAGCACCGCAUGGUGCAGGGGUAAAAACUCCGGUGGUACAGGAUGGACCCGCGUCUGAUUAGCUGGUUGGUGAGGUAACGGCUCACCAAGGCGACGAUCAGUAGCCGGCUUGAGAGAGUGAACGGCCACAUUGGGACUGAGACACGGCCCAAACUCCUACGGGAGGCAGCAGUGGGGAAUAUUGCACAAUGGGGGAAACCCUGAUGCAGCGACGCCGCGUGAGUGAAGAAGUAUCUCGGUAUGUAAAGCUCUAUCAGCAGGGAAGAAAAUGACGGUACCUGACUAAGAAGCCCCGGCUAACUACGUGCCAGCAGCCGCGGUAAUACGUAGGGGGCAAGCGUUAUCCGGAAUUACUGGGUGUAAAGGGUGCGUAGGUGGUAUGGCAAGUCAGAAGUGAAAACCCAGGGCUUAACUCUGGGACUGCUUUUGAAACUGUCAGACUAGAGUGCAGGAGAGGUAAGCGGAAUUCCUAGUGUAGCGGUGAAAUGCGUAGAUAUUAGGAGGAACAUCAGUGGCGAA
This 655-nucleotide ribosomal RNA is filed under the name uncultured Lachnospiraceae bacterium. RNAcentral describes it as "bacterial SSU rRNA". It matches the Rfam family "Bacterial small subunit ribosomal RNA", at positions 66 to 719 of the family's 1533-position model. Lineage: Bacteria; Bacillati; Bacillota; Clostridia; Lachnospirales; Lachnospiraceae. The record is from RNAcentral.